This is a non-coding RNA of Sus scrofa (pig), 1561 nucleotides long. NCBI's taxonomy places the organism in Eukaryota, Metazoa, Chordata, Mammalia, Artiodactyla, Suidae. The record is from RefSeq and is a predicted model, not a curated record.
UUGACCCUGCGUCCUGGCUCUGCAGAGACGCCACUGACCCGAUCCUGUUGCGCCACAGCGGAAACUCCUCUCACGUCUUUUUAUGGCUUCGGGAGGGAGGGGGUGUUUCACCUCAGGGGCAGACAGCUCAGGAACUGGUUGCAGCAGGAAAUCCGGAACUGCUCACAUGACCCAGCUCUGAUUUCAAACACCAGUUUCCACCCCCAGCUCCUCCCGUCCUCAAAGCCACGCUUUAAUAUUGAAGGUUGUUUUAAAGUAGCGAAUGAAAAGCUCACAGAAGCUGGAAAACAUCGGCCUUUGCGUUAAAAGUAUUUGAGCACCUGGGAAAUUAUGCAAGUUUUUCUCAUUAGAUUAUUGUAAGAUUGUCGUUGGUGUCGGGAGAUUGACUACACCUUUUAAAAUAAAAACAAGUCUCUGCGGUUUGUUUUUCCAGGUGGAUUUUGGUUGCAACCCAGAGCAUUUCCCAAUAACGAGUGUCUCCGCACUUCAGCCAGUUUGAAACAGUGACGGGUACAAAUAACAUAAAGGGUUCAGAGGCUGCACCAACGUUCACAUGUGCCUCUGAGAACCGAUCGUCUUGAUUAUUAGCACCGGACCGUUUGCACGGCCCAGUUUCGGGAGAGGCAGAGAUGGGAAGGACACGUAAAUCUGAAAGCGAUCCCUGGCCUCGCCCCGUGGGUUAGGAUCCGGCAUUGCCACAAGCCGCCGCGUAGGUGGCAGGCUUUGCUUCCCAAUGACGUCAGCAAAUCCAGCCUGGUGGGGCGGGAAGGUCGAGGCGCCGAGGGCCUGUCCUGCUUGGGAGAGAGGUGAUGGUCAACUAAGGCUGCUCGGGCAAUGCGCGGCAAUGCCCGGCUGAGCCGGCCUCCCUGGGCGACGGCCCGGGGCUGGAGCUUUGGGUGGGAGGCCCUGGGAAGCAAGCAGGGCGGGGCCGUGUCACAGGCACGGAGGGGGGCAUCCUGCCUGAGGACCGGGCAUCUCCCAAGCCACUGAAACAUGUUUAUCAACACGGUAGAGAAGCAAAGCGGGGACAGCGACUUCCUACCCACUGGAGGAAAAAGGACUUCCUGUCACAGAGUGAAAUAUCAUUGUGUACCUCCGUUUGGCAAAAUGAUGAACUCCGAUAGUGCCAAGUGUGGGAGAGGAAGCAGCUCAAGCAAUACUGUCUACCUGCUGGUGGGAGUGUAAAUUGUUACCACCACUGUGAAAAUCGAUCGUGUAAAUUUGAACGUGCGCCUACCCUACACUCUGGCUGUUCUCGUCUGAGGAAUCGUUGAGAGAUGCUUGUUGAUGGACAUUUAGGGUGUUUCCCUGUGUUGGCUAUUGUGGAUUGUGCUGCAGUGAACAUGUGAAUGCAUGUAUCUUUUUGAAUUCUAGCUUCGUCUGGAUAUAUGCCUGGGAGUGGGAUUGCUGGGUCUUGUGCGGUGGCUGUAUUUGGCUCCCCUAGGAAGCUCCGUACUGUUCUCCCUGUGGCUGUAGAAAACAAGGUCCUGCCAUAUAGUCCAGGGAAAUAUAUGUAGUCUCCUAGAAUAGACCGUGAUGGAAAAUAAUGUUUAAAAACGUA